AGUGAACGCUGGCGGCAGGCCUAACACAUGCAAGUCGAACGGCAGCACAGUAAGAGCUUGCUCUUACGGGUGGCGAGUGGCGGACGGGUGAGGAAUACAUCGGAAUCUACUUUUUCGUGGGGGAUAACGUAGGGAAACUUACGCUAAUACCGCAUACGACCUACGGGUGAAAGCAGGGGAUCUUCGGACCUUGCGCGAUUGAAUGAGCCGAUGUCGGAUUAGCUAGUUGGCGGGGUAAAGGCCCACCAAGGCGACGAUCCGUAGCUGGUCUGAGAGGAUGAUCGGCCAGACUGGAACUGAGACCCGGUCCAGACUCCUACGGGAGGCAGAAGUGGGGAAUAUUGGACAAUGGGCGCAAGCCUGAUCCAGCCAUACCGCGUGGGUGAAGAAGGCCUUCGGGUUGUAAAGCCCUUUUGUUGGGAAAGAAAAGCAGCAGGUUAAUACCCCGCUGUUCUGACGGUACCAGAAGAAUAAGCACCGGCUAACUUCGUG
RNAcentral lists this ribosomal RNA (492 nucleotides) under uncultured bacterium. RNAcentral's name for it is "partial 16S ribosomal RNA". It matches the Rfam family "Bacterial small subunit ribosomal RNA", at positions 29 to 507 of the family's 1533-position model. The record is from RNAcentral.